Molecule: non-coding RNA, 28 nt
Filed under: Rattus norvegicus (Norway rat)
Lineage: Eukaryota; Metazoa; Chordata; Mammalia; Rodentia; Muridae
Source: RNAcentral
UGUCCUGCACAGUACGAGUAUUGGAGAA